This 445-nucleotide unclassified non-coding RNA is filed under the name Hevea brasiliensis (rubber tree). The record is from RNAcentral. Lineage: Eukaryota; Viridiplantae; Streptophyta; Magnoliopsida; Malpighiales; Euphorbiaceae.
AUUGCUUCAACUAAGGUUUCCCAGUUCAGAUGGGGAAGGAAGAGUGCAUCUUGUUCACAUCUAUGGCCCGAAAAUAAAAUAUGAAAGGGGUGCAGCUGUUGCUUUCAAUGUUAGAGAUAGAAAUCGGGGGCUGAUGAAUCCAGAAGUUGUUCAGAAGCUUGCUGAAAGAGAAGGUAUCUCUCUUGGCAUUGGUUUUCUUAGUCACAUAAGGAUAUUGGAUAGCCCAAAACAGCAGCGUGGUAAUUUGAACCUUGAAGAUACCACUCUAUGUAGGCCAAUGGAAAAUGGGCAACACAAUGGAAAAAGUGGGUUCAUAAGGAUUGAGGUGGUCACUGCAUCUCUGGGAUUUCUCACCAACUUCGAGGACGUUUACAAAUUAUGGGGUUUUGUUUCCAAGUUUCUUAAUCCAGCCUUUAUCAAAGAGGGUAGUCUUCCAACAGUUGAA